RNAcentral lists this ribosomal RNA (437 nucleotides) under uncultured bacterium. RNAcentral describes it as "bacterial SSU rRNA". It matches the Rfam family "Bacterial small subunit ribosomal RNA", at positions 338 to 792 of the family's 1533-position model. The record is from RNAcentral.
CCUACGGGAGGCAGCAGUGGGGAAUAUUGCACAAUGGGGGAAACCCUGAUGCAGCAACGCCGCGUGAGUGAUGAAGGUUUUCGGAUCGUAAAGCUCUGUCUUCAGGGACGAUAAUGACGGUACCUGAGGAGGAAGCCACGGCUAACUACGUGCCAGCAGCCGCGGUAAUACGUAGGUGGCGAGCGUUGUCCGGAUUUACUGGGCGUAAAGGGAGCGUAGGCGGAUGAUUAAGUGGGAUGUGAAAUACCCGGGCUCAACUUGGGUGCUGCAUUCCAAACUGGUUAUCUAGAGUGCAGGAGAGGAGAGUGGAAUUCCUAGUGUAGCGGUGAAAUGCGUAGAUAUUAGGAGGAACACCAGUGGCGAAGGCGGCUUACUGGACUGUAACUGACACUGAGGCUCGAAAGCGUGGGGAGCAAACAGGAUUAGAUACCCUGGUA